Molecule: ribosomal RNA, 696 nt
Filed under: Kocuria flava
Lineage: Bacteria; Bacillati; Actinomycetota; Actinomycetes; Micrococcales; Micrococcaceae
Description: bacterial SSU rRNA
Rfam family: Bacterial small subunit ribosomal RNA
Source: RNAcentral
GAAAAAAGGACACACUAGAUUUUGAUCGGGGCCCGAACUCCACCUUGCUGGGGCGCAUGAGUGGCGAACGGGUGAGUAAUACGUGAGUAACCUGCCCUUGACUCUGGGAUAAGCCUGGGAAACCGGGUCUAAUACUGGAUACGACGUCCUACCGCAUGGUGGGGCGUGGAAAGGGUUUUACUGGUUUUGGAUGGGCUCACGGCCUAUCAGCUUGUUGGUGGGGUAAUGGCCUACCAAGGCGACGACGGGUAGCCGGCCUGAGAGGGUGACCGGCCACACUGGGACUGAGACACGGCCCAGACUCCUACGGGAGGCAGCAGUGGGGAAUAUUGCACAAUGGGCGCAAGCCUGAUGCAGCGACGCCGCGUGAGGGAUGACGGCCUUCGGGUUGUAAACCUCUUUCAGCAGGGAAGAAGCCACAAGUGACGGUACCUGCAGAAGAAGCGCCGGCUAACUACGUGCCAGCAGCCGCGGUAAUACGUAGGGCGCAAGCGUUGUCCGGAAUUAUUGGGCGUAAAGAGCUCGUAGGCGGUUUGUCGCGUCUGCUGUGAAAGCCCGGGGCUCAACCCCGGGUCUGCAGUGGGUACGGGCAGACUAGAGUGCAGUAGGGGAGACUGGAAUUCCUGGUGUAGCGGUGAAAUGCGCAGAUAUCAGGAGGAACACCGAUGGCGAAGGCAGGUCUCUGGGCUGUUACUG